CUCCCAAACCCCUGUGAACAUACCAAUUGUUGCCUCGGCGGAUCAGCCCGCUCCCGGUAAAACGGGACGGCCCGCCAGAGGACCCCUAAACUCUGUUUCUAUAUGUAACUUCUGAGUAAAACCAUAAAUAAAUCAAAACUUUCAACAACGGAUCUCUUGGUUCUGGCAUCGAUGAAGAACGCAGCAAAAUGCGAUAAGUAAUGUGAAUUGCAGAAUUCAGUGAAUCAUCGAAUCUUUGAACGCACAUUGCGCCCGCCAGUAUUCUGGCGGGCAUGCCUGUUCGAGCGUCAUUUCAACCCUCAAGCCCUCGGGUUUGGUGUUGGGGAUCGGCGAGCCCUUGCGGCAAGCCGGCCCCGAAAUAUAGUGGCGGUCUCGCUGCAGCUUCCAUUGCGUAGUAGUAAAACCCUCGCAACUGGUACGCGGCGCGGCCAAGCCGUUAAACCCCCAACUUCUGAAUGUUGACCUCGGAUCAGGUAGGAAUACCCGCUGAACUUAAGCAU
Molecule: ribosomal RNA, 500 nt
Filed under: Fusarium annulatum
Lineage: Eukaryota; Fungi; Ascomycota; Sordariomycetes; Hypocreales; Nectriaceae
Description: eukaryotic LSU rRNA
Rfam family: 5.8S ribosomal RNA (bases 137-290)
Source: RNAcentral